This 211-nucleotide ribosomal RNA is filed under the name uncultured bacterium. RNAcentral's name for it is "partial 16S ribosomal RNA". It matches the Rfam family "Bacterial small subunit ribosomal RNA", at positions 1286 to 1500 of the family's 1533-position model. The record is from RNAcentral.
UCUCAGUUCAGACUGCAGGCUGCAACUCGCCUGCACGAAGUCGGAAUUGCUAGUAAUCGCGGAUCAGAAUGCCGCGGUGAAUACGUUCCCGGGCCUUGUACACACCGCCCGUCACACCAUGGGAGUCGGUAACACCCGAAGUCGGUGGUCUAACCGCAAGGAGCGACCUAGGGCAAAACUGGUGACUGGGGCUAAGUCGUAACAAGGUAAC